AGAGUUUGAUCAUGGCUCAGGAUGAACGCUAGCGGCAGGCCUAAUACAUGCAAGACGAGCGGUAAAUAUUUCAGCAAUGAGAUAUGAGAGCGUCGUAAGGGUGCGUAACACGUAUGCAAUCUGCCCUCAACUGGGGUAUAGCUCGGUGAAAACCGGAUUAACCCCCCAUAAGAUCAUAGACUGGCAUCAGUUAGUGAUUAAAUCUCCGGAGGUUGAGGAUGAGCAUGCGGAUGAUUAGCUAGUUGGUAGUGUAACGGACUACCAAGGCGAUGAUCAAUAGGGGAACUGAGAGGUUGAUCCCCCACACUGGCACUGAGAUACGGGCCAGACUCCUACGGGAGGCAGCAGUAGGGAAUAUUGGACAAUGGGUGCAAGCCUGAUCCAGCCAUGCCGCGUGCAGGAAGAAGGCUUUCUGAGUUGUAAACUGCUUUUGCCAGGGGAUAAAAUACGGAUGCGUCCGGAAUUGAAGGUACCUGGUGAAUAAGCCACGGCUAACUACGUGCCAGCCGCCGCGGUAAUAC
This 521-nucleotide ribosomal RNA is filed under the name uncultured bacterium. Its description in RNAcentral is "bacterial SSU rRNA". It matches the Rfam family "Bacterial small subunit ribosomal RNA", at positions 8 to 526 of the family's 1533-position model. The record is from RNAcentral.